RNAcentral lists this ribosomal RNA (309 nucleotides) under Triticum aestivum (bread wheat). RNAcentral describes it as "partial small subunit ribosomal RNA". Lineage: Eukaryota; Viridiplantae; Streptophyta; Magnoliopsida; Poales; Poaceae. The record is from RNAcentral.
AUGGUUGAACUUAAAAGGCAUGUCAUGUUUCCUACUGUUUAUCGCCUCAUUGAGUUGGCAUUGCUACUACCGGUAGCAAUGAAAACAAUUGAAAGGGCCUUCUCAUCAAUGAAAAUCAUCAAGAUUGAGUUGUGCAGCAAGAUAUCCGAUGGUUGGUUUAAUGACUUGAUGGUGUGUUACAUUGAGCGAGUGAUCUUCAAAAGUUUGAUCUUGUUAAAAUUAAGGAAGAUUUUUAGAAGGGGGGUAGGGCACUGCCAUUUCCUGGGUCCUCUAGAUGCCAUUGAAAUCUUCUUUUAUCGUAUGUUUUAG